This 319-nucleotide long non-coding RNA is filed under the name Citrus maxima (pomelo). RNAcentral describes it as "long non-coding RNA (CMAX_LNC000253)". Lineage: Eukaryota; Viridiplantae; Streptophyta; Magnoliopsida; Sapindales; Rutaceae. The record is from RNAcentral.
AACUCAGCCAACCAUUGAUGGAAAAAAACAAAACGAUUUUGGCCAGCAUGAAGACUCUAUGAAUUGUAGAGUGAACCUCAAUAAACUGAUGGCUUGGAUUGGGACUAGCGACACAGUAGAUGAAUUCCUAGAGACCCCUUCCACUUUGUAAGAGGGUAUGUCCCUAUUCCGCGACCUGUUCUCUAAGAUGAGGUAGCGUUUUGAAACUUAAUUUGUGAAUUUUAUUUCCACGAUAAUUCAAUUAUGAGUGAUUUUAAAAUUAAAUUUCUUUUAUAUAGGUUACAAACAAACCAGUUGAUCAAGUGUCAUAGGAAACACA